Molecule: unclassified non-coding RNA, 302 nt
Filed under: uncultured Rhizophagus
Lineage: Eukaryota; Fungi; Glomeromycota; Glomeromycetes; Glomerales; Glomeraceae
Description: sequence contains 5.8S rRNA gene, ITS2, 28S rRNA gene
Source: RNAcentral
AACGCAAAUUGCACUCUCUUCGGAGAGUAUGCCUGUUUGAGGGUCAGUAUUAAUAAAAAUCGGCGUGUUGCUUUUUUGUGAUGCUCCGGAGUUUGGGUUAUCUUAUAACGAUACCUUUUGAGGUGUUUUUAAGAAACUUAAAAUUGACAUCAUUUUUGCGCAUUUUAGACGUACAUAAAUUUUUUUAUUUCGUUUAUUCUAAUGCCAAAAUCUAUUAGAUGCGACCAUAUCGUGUGGUUCCGUGUCUAUAAAUUUUUUCAUGAUUUGACCUCAAAUCAGGUAGGAACACCCGCUGAACUUAA